This 450-nucleotide ribosomal RNA is filed under the name uncultured bacterium. RNAcentral's name for it is "partial 16S ribosomal RNA". It matches the Rfam family "Bacterial small subunit ribosomal RNA", at positions 354 to 796 of the family's 1533-position model. The record is from RNAcentral.
GUGGGGAAUUUUGGACAAUGGGCGCAAGCCUGAUCCAGCAAUGCCGCGUGCAGGAAGAAGGCCUUCGGGUUGUAAACUGCUUUUGUACGGAACGAAACGGUCCUGGUUAAUACCCGGGGCUAAUGACGGUACCGUAAGAAUAAGCACCGGCUAACUACGUGCCAGCAGCCGCGGUAAUACGUAGGGUGCAAGCGUUAAUCGGAAUUACUGGGCGUAAAGCGUGCGCAGGCGGUGCUGUAAGACAGGCGUGAAAUCCCCGGGCUUAACCUGGGAAUUGCGCUUGUGACUGCAGUGCUGGAGUGCGGCAGAGGGGGAUGGAAUUCCGCGUGUAGCAGUGAAAUGCGUAGAUAUGCGGAGGAACACCGAUGGCGAAGGCAAUCCCCUGGGCCUGCACUGACGCUCAUGCACGAAAGCGUGGGGAGCAAACAGGAUUAGAAACCCGUGUAGUCC